This 74-nucleotide transfer RNA is filed under the name Planctomyces sp. Its description in RNAcentral is "tRNA-Cys". It matches the Rfam family "tRNA". Rfam says of the family: Transfer RNA (tRNA) molecules are approximately 80 nucleotides in length. RNAcentral also lists the same sequence under 3 other names. Lineage: Bacteria; Pseudomonadati; Planctomycetota; Planctomycetia; Planctomycetales; Planctomycetaceae. The record is from RNAcentral.
GGCCGCGUGCCAGAGUGGUCUAAUGGGGCGGAUUGCAAAUCCGUUUACCGUCGGUUCGAAUCCGACCGCGGCCU